This 270-nucleotide ribosomal RNA is filed under the name uncultured bacterium. RNAcentral describes it as "partial 16S ribosomal RNA". It matches the Rfam family "Bacterial small subunit ribosomal RNA", at positions 29 to 280 of the family's 1533-position model. The record is from RNAcentral.
AGCGAACGUUAGCGGCGGGCCUAACACAUGCAAGUCGAACGAGAAUGAGGGGGCAACUCCUCUAGUAAAGUGGCGGACGGGUGCGUAACACGUAGGUAAUCUACCUUCCGGCGGGGGACAACAGUCCGAAAGGAUUGCUAAUACCGCAUACGUCGGCGAGAUCUCCGGAUCUUGUCGGGAAAGACGGCCUCUCCUUGGAAGCUGUCACCGGAUGAUGAACCUGCGGCCCAUCAGCUAGUUGGCGAGGUAACGGCUCACCAAGGCGAAGAC